ACAUGAUUCAUCAUGUGAAUUGUGGAAGAAAAGAAUUCGUUAAGCAAAGAAAUAACUUUCAUAUUUUGAAGGAUGCUAACCGACAUUCAAAGCAAAUGAAUUCAAGAACAGAUGUGAGUGAAAAUCAUCCACGAGAGCCCCAAAGCGAAAAUCAUGCAAUACCUGAUUUCAUUUACUUUGAUGUUGGAUUCAUUUUCCUAUAGUUCGGAAAUUGACAACCGGGAACUUAUAAUUUGAGUUGCGAGCGUUGCGGUUGCACUUUUUCACUAGGCUUUGGUUUAGGUUACAAUAUUUUUUUUUAUUUUCGAUUCUACUGAUAAAUAAAAGUGGUUUCACCCGUGAAUUGUUUGAAAUAGAGAAAAGCAAAUAAGUGUGUGAGUUAGUUAAUGGUAAAUAAACCUAUAGCAUUGUUUUUUUUAUUUGGUGUUGCCUUCUAUCAGGCAUUUGGCUGAGGCCCAUAAAUAGCAUUGAUUUAUUUUCAACGACACAUUUUGAAGCAAGAAUAUCGAUGGCUUACAAAAUAGUCCUUGCUCCAAUCAGUUUCGAUUACGUAUAAUGUUUCUGUAGCAUCCCCUGAACGGUGAAAUCCCGGUGGAAGCAUUUAUCAAGCAUAUAAACGAUUGAAAGGGACCAUCACUAAAAGGCAAGAUAGGGAUUACUUCAUACUACCUGUUGAAGAAGCCUGAAGUGUGGUGAUAUUCUAAUAAAAUAUCCCCACUAUAAAAAGGAGCUCGGAUAUCAACUGAUCGCUGAAGAUAACCGUGAUUUAGGAUACAAAGAAAUAAGAGCUAACUGGAAAAAUAUAAUCGACAAAUUAUGGACGUAUGUCAUAUUGAAAGUUCGAAGCCAGAACUCUUGUUGUGCUGGAAUUUAUGAAUCGUUCAAAUCAAUCUGAAGAUGCUCUCAUUUGUUGCUUUUUAAUUCAACUCACUAGGCUUUACACAAAAGCCUAGUAAAGUUACAAAGAUCAUGAGACCAGCAAUUCUAACCGCACAAGAGGAUGCGCUAAUGUGUGCUGGUAAUCUAGACUCUGCGCACGAGUCCAAUCAAACCACAUCCCAAAUAGUCGUCGUUGGAGAUGAUUAUACACCUCUACGAAGAGACAGUUCUAUGUGUGAAACGUAUACACAAAAAUUGACAGCUGUAUACCGAUUUUCAAGAUAAGUUUCAACCAAUCUACAUUUACACUUGAUUUUUGUUUUUCUUCAUUUUAGAUGCUCUCAUUUGUUGCUUUUUAAUUCAACUCACUAGGCUUUACACAAAAGCCUAGUAAAGUUACAAAGAUCAUGAGACCACAAUUCUAACCGCACAAGAGGAUGCGCUAAUGUGUGCUGGUAAUCUAGACUCUGCGCACGAGUCCAAUCAAACCACAUCCCAAAUAGUCGUCGUUGGAGAUGAUUAUACACCUCUACGAAGAGACAGUUCUAUGUGUGAAACGUAUACACAAAAAUUGACAGCUGUAUACCGAUUUUCAAGAUAUGUUUCAACCAAUCUACAAUUAAACGCUGCAUAGCAGCGAUAUAAGCAGGAACAUCGAUAUAAAACUGUCAUACGCACGAAUUAUAUACAACCCCUGACCUCCCGGUUACCAGGUUUAAGCUCAAAUUAUAAAACAAACAAAAAACAACGUGAUUGCGGCGACCAAAUUGAUUAACUAACACCGACCAGUCCCUAAGAGCAUCAAUCAGUAAACCUCGCAAAUAUCCUCCAUCGAAAAUGUCGAUGAUCUUACCAGUAUCCUAGGACAAUCAGGAAUUCAUCUUGAAGCGUAGUGGCGUAAGCAAGCUUUUGACACACUUGAGGGCAACCGGAUAUUUGAAAGCCAAACGUGCUGGAUGUGGCUCACAAUAAACCAUCCUUAUUUAUAUCAGUAAAAGCUAACGGCAAUUUGCGUCGAUAAUAAUAUCUUUGUUACCGCUUUAAACCCACUGGUGUCCCCUGCUAGACCAUAAGUGAAGGCGACAUUAAUCGGAGGAGAGAAAAAAAAUUAAGGCACACCUAUACACCUAUACCUGGAAUCAAAUAUGUAAAAACAAACAAGAAUCUGCAACGGAAUUUGCUCAGAGAUACAAAACGGAAAAGUAACAAAAACUAUCAGUUUAUUAUCAGGAAAACCUUUUAGAUUAUGUUUUCGACUUGAUUCCGUUAGGUUUAAGAAGAAGAAACAAAAAAUGUUCUACUAGUAUCAAAUCUAUAUCAAACUCUGUUACUAACGUAUCUAUUUCCUAACAUAAUGAAAUAGUAUAUAAAAUAGGCAACCAUUGUUAGAAAAACACGCUCUAAUAGAAUCGAGACUAUGUUUAACAACAACUUGAUUUCAGGACUUGUUAUCAGAUCUCAUUCAGAUUCAUGUUUGUUAUCAGAAGCAUUUGGCAAAAUACAAAAUCGAAUCAGAAUAUGAUAUUUAUAUCUCGUUCAGAUAUAAAGUAAUUCUUUUUAGUUGUGUUCUUCUGAUCAGGAAGUUCCAAACGAAAUUGGAAAACAUUUUGCAGCAUUUGUUGACGGUUGAGGCAGAGUUAUUAGCGUAUUAGCCCAACCAGUUCUGGUUCUGAUCAAUUGUUAGGCUAUUUAAAUUUUCGUUCUAGUUUGUUUUUGAGCGUAAAAUAUUAUAUUAUAAGAUUUUAAUUAAACUAAUUCUUACGUCAAAAAAUAGAGCCAAGGUAAAUAUAGUAGUUACUCGAGGCAUUAUUUGUAGACCGAGCAGCCUAAGACGUUGUUUAUUGAAAAGCUGUUCAGGCAUAAAAAAGAGUCACGGUAAACAUAAAUUUCAAUCUGAUUGCUAGGAGCAUUUGUUGUAU
Long non-coding RNA from Wyeomyia smithii (pitcher-plant mosquito), 2798 nucleotides. RefSeq lists it as uncharacterized. The record is from RefSeq and is a predicted model, not a curated record. NCBI's taxonomy places the organism in Eukaryota, Metazoa, Arthropoda, Insecta, Diptera, Culicidae. The transcript has 6 exons.